AAAUGCGAUAAGUAAUGUGAAUUGCAGAAUUCCGUGAAUCAUCGAAUCUUUGAACGCACAUUGCGCCCUCUGGUAUUCCGGGGGGCAUGCCUGUCCGAGCGUCAUUGCGAACCCCUCAAGCACGGCUUGUGUGAUGGGCCCUCCCGCGUCUUGGUCGUCAAGACGGGCCCGAAAUGCAGUGGCGGCUUCGCGGUUAUCCGAUCAGCCAGAGCGUAUGGGGACUCUCUCUCUGUCACACGCCCGCGGCGCGGACCGACGCCUGUCGACCUUUAUUCAUCUUUUCUCGGUUGACCUCGGAUCAGGUAGAGAUACCCGCUGAACUUAGGC
This 327-nucleotide unclassified non-coding RNA is filed under the name plant metagenome. Its description in RNAcentral is "partial contains 5.8S ribosomal RNA, internal transcribed spacer 2, and large subunit ribosomal RNA". The stretch from base 1 to 104 matches the Rfam family "5.8S ribosomal RNA", at positions 51 to 154 of the family's 154-position model. The record is from RNAcentral.